GGGAAAUAGUGAUAUCAGAAAUGUUUCCAAUACAGCCAACAUCAAAAGAAAUGUAACGAUUAGCAUCCAGAAUUCCCCCAAAAAAAAAUAAACAAAACUGAAAAUUUGCAAAUUGUUGAGGUAUUUCUUGAAAAGGAUGAUGCACUUAGUAAAAACAGUACAUCAUAUCUCAAUGCAAAGGGUAGCAAUAGUCGAAAGACUGAAAGCCAAAAUAAGUUUGACGAAGCUCUUGACCAUCAACAUGAAUAAACAAUGAGUUUACAGCAUUUGGCAUAACGUGUAUUAUAGAGAAGGUUCAUGGUGUGCCGAUUGUCAAAACGUUUCUCUUUUUGGAGGGGCUCGGUUUUCUAUAAGUGGAUUUCACCAUAAAAAUUCUUAGCGGAUUUCACCAAUAUUUAACAUGAGUGGGUAGAACAUAGCAGAAUUGAGCAUUUUCAGUGUUAAAUGAGAAAAGUAAUGUUAAUUUAAAUGUUUAGAAAUGUACGCCAACAGAUUCGCGUAUUUACAAUGCGCAAACGACUAUGGAUAUCAUUUAUAGAUAUUGUGAAAGAUAUAUAUGAUAUCAAAGCACAUAAGUAUGAUGAUGAAUUCCAUUAAUCAUAAUUACCUAAAUAUUAUAAUUAAUAAAGUUUUGUUAAGUUAUUAUAUAGUA
This is a long non-coding RNA of Bactrocera neohumeralis, 652 nucleotides long. RefSeq lists it as uncharacterized. The record is from RefSeq and is a predicted model, not a curated record. The transcript is spliced from 3 exons. Lineage: Eukaryota; Metazoa; Arthropoda; Insecta; Diptera; Tephritidae.